Long non-coding RNA from Plodia interpunctella (Indianmeal moth), 8298 nucleotides. RefSeq lists it as uncharacterized. Lineage: Eukaryota; Metazoa; Arthropoda; Insecta; Lepidoptera; Pyralidae. The transcript is spliced from 3 exons. The record is from RefSeq and is a predicted model, not a curated record.
AGAUAUAAUAUGCUUACAGAAUCAUUUGAGAUAAUCAGACUGAACAGUAAGAACGUCGUUCUAUACCAAGGGCACACAUUCUCCAGACAAGGAGGCUGUUUCACCAACCAGUAUUGUUCUAAGAAGAAUUCGCUGCAUUGUUCCGCUAGACUCAAACUGGACAAAUCUGGAAUUAGCAUCCUCAAAGCGUUCACGGAUCAUAAUCAUCCACCACCAAAAAUUUUUCGAACUCCUCAAGGAAAUUAUGUGAAGCUAUACGACAGAUAAAUGACAUCGUGUGUUACGCACAACUUCUCUCUAAUAUAAGAUGUACAAUAAAAAUUAAAAUGUUUAAAUAGAGUCAAAGUAAUUCUUAUGAUCUGAUAGAAAUUAAUGACACAAUCAGUUUGAUUUUCGAGCAGAGAUGAAGUAAUCAUGUAAAUGGUAUUCUUCCAACUUUAUGAUGUCCAUUGUGUUAGAUUUACCAUAACACGGACUCCAUAACUGGACUCCAUUAUAGAUUAAAGAUUCCCGUCACUCUUUUAUCUCGAUGAUGAACUACUCGAUUAGUUACUACGUCAGUCAUAUGGCAACAGAACUUAAAGUACGCUCUCCUAUUUUACCUGGUCUUCAGCAUACUUCAUUAUCGAUGAUGCGGGUGAAAGAUUCCUGUCAGAAAAUAGAUGUAAUUCGAGAAUUCGAAAAAAAAAUAAAACAAACUUGUUUAUGUUUUAGAUCUUCAGAUUACGUACAUAAAUUCCGCCCGUGGAGGUCAGCUUAUGGUUAUUAACGGCUACUCCUUCGCUAGAGUCCACAGGAUGUCCAGGUCUUGGCAUUGCUCCAACAGGAUUUCUAAAAAUUGCAGGGCUAAUUUGAAAGUGCUCAAUGGAAUUGUAUUGUCAUACGAUUUGAGUCAUACACAUUUUCCUCCGUAUAAGCGAUGACCAGAGUAAUUAAUAGUUAUACAUGUUUUGCUAACAUUGUUUAUGGUAAUGUACAAUAACGUCCUUGUCAGUGAGAAUAAGUUUAAAAUAUAAUAUAAUAUUAAUUAAUAUUAAAAGUAUGUUGAUGGUUUGUUACUGCCAUUGAUAUAACAAUAAUAACGAAAUAAGGGCGACGAAGUGAUUAUUACUUUCUUUUCGUAAUUGUAUUUGUUUUAGCAAAUUCUUGUUUGUUUUGAUAUUAGCAAUACAAUUCGUAUGUUUGUUUGUUCGUAGGUAUUAGAAUUUAUCCGUACAUUAAGGGGUUCCAAGCUUAAGAUCGUGAACUGGUAUUCAUUUGCUAGGAACAACAAACAUUGCAUUUAUAUAUAUGAGAGCUUACUAGAACAUUGACUUUAGUAAGCUCUCGAAGAAGGGUAAUACCAAGGUACAAAUCACAUACAAUAUAAAUUAUCACAGUAUAAUUUAAGUCAUAAUAAAUACACAGGUCGGCAAUCUUUUGGCAGGCAAAGGCUACAAUGUGGUAGAAUAAAAUAAAGCUAGUAAUUUUAUGCCUAGAAAUCUAAUCCUAUUGCGUACAAUUGGUCAUCCUACAGAUCCAUAAUACUCGUAAAAGUUUAUAAAAACUCUUCCACCUUACUUAUUUAUACGCCACGAAAUAAAUGUGCUAUUUUCAAGUAUUUUUUUUAUUCAAUGAUAAAAUAGAACUUUUUUAAACCGUUUUUAUUUAUCUCCUAUUUACGAAGACUCCAAUUCUUUAGCAUUUGUGAUUUUUACCAUUGAUUAAAAUUUAAUGAAUUAAAUGAAAAAAUGUUUCAUAGACGAUUUAUUAAUUAUCGGCAGGUCUAAAAUUCGAGGUUAUCGAGUCGAAAGGCAAGAAACCAUUACUGAUGCUGCAGGGUCAUACGUUUGCGAGGACUACAAGCGACCAGCGUUACUGGAACUGCAGCAAGAAGCUGUCCAAACAGUGUCCAGCGAAACUCCGAUUCAACGAAUCUGGGGAGAUUGUCUACUACAACUUGAGCCAUAGCCACGAACCCCCGAGGAUGUUUAAAACACGGGACGGGAAAUAUGUUAGGCUUUAAAAUGUUUGUUACAAUUACAAAGUGUUGCACUAGUCAACUUGAUGUUAACUUUAACUUGCGCGUCGUCGUCGUUUAGAUGGAAAUAAAUGACGAAUUUUCCGAUUUUCGUCGCAGAUUAAAGUUAAUGUCAAAGUAAAUGUAACGCACCCUUAGAAAACAUAUGUCGUAUGAGAGUAUUUCAGUGAAAAUUAAACUGGACCUACGGAAAUCACCGCCUAUAUUGAAUAUUUAAGAUCUUUGCGAAUAAAAGUUAGGAUAAUAUUAUAUUUGAAAGAACACAUUAGGUUAACUAAAAAACUCAACAACAGAAAAUGCAAAUUUUAAUCAUUAAUGUGUAUCUUACUGUAGUUAUAUAGACGUAUUUCAAAUAUUGAAAAAUCUGUAAAACAUAACUAUGAAUUUGGUGUUUAACGCUGUUUUUGGGUUACAUAUCUGGAAAAGCACAUGUUUAGAAUACCUUUAACAUAUGUAAAAAUAUUAAUUAAUAAAUAUUGUCAAAUAUUUUCUCUCGCAUGUUUUUAUUCCAAAAAAGAAUUUAACUUUAUCUGAAAUAAUCAAACUACUAAUAUAUAUUCCCAUGUAAGUUUUUGAAAAUAAACGUUCGUUUCAGCAAAAGAAAUACGAAAACAAAACAGAAACAGAAAAAGGAGAAAACCUGGAUCUCGGGGUUACAAAAACUAUACUGAUAAAAUGCUUCAACUGGCAAUAGAGAACGUCAAAGCAAAGACAAUGUCGACAAGAUUGGCAGAAAAAGUGUUUGGUGUGCCUAGACGCACGAUCAUUGAUAAACUGGGCAAGAAGAAACAUAGCAAGGCGUUUGCUUUAAAGGUCCCUGUCAAAGAAGAAGCGAUAAGCAAGCUAAUAAUAACUCGUGUAAUAGAUUGUUAGAAGAGUUUUGAGAGUAAUGAAGUUCCAGACCAUGUAUUUAAAGUUGGAAUUAACGACUUUUAAGAAUAAAAAAAUACAAAUAAAAUAUCUAACUAUAGAUAAAAGAAAUUAUCAAGAAUUAAUUGCAAUAUCAGUGCAAUGCGCAGUAUAUAGCGGGAUAGCUGUUAAUUAUUAUUAUAUAUUAUGUUAAUAGGGAGGAAAAAGUAGUAAAUAAAUUAUUCUGUUUCUUUUCUUUAGCGACACUGUUUUAGAUUGGUUUCUCUCUUUCGUAAUGUUAAAUGAUGAAAGAGAUAAAGAAAAACAUAUUGCUGGAAUUCACUGAAAGAAAUUCACUGGAAUUUGGUCGAAAUAAAAAGUGUAUAUUGCGUCUUCAAUAAGGCAUAAACAAAAAAUAUAGUUAUACCAAAAUUGGCGGAGAUUGACGUCUGUAGAAAGCAAACGUUUUGUAUGAUAUUAUUUAUUUAGCUUUAGUGGUUCCUCGUCUUAUUUACAAUGUAGCAUUAAUUUUCUGUACGUUUUCAAAAAAUGUCAUUACAGAACGGGAAUUAGAGAAAAUCCGAAGACAAAUCAGAAAUAGAAGGAGAAGAAGACCCGGCGCGAGACGUUACAAACACUACACUGAUGAUAUGCUUCAACUGGCAAUGGAGAAUGUCAAAACAAAGACAAUGUCAACAAUAUUAGCAGAGAAAUUGUUCGGUGUGCCCAGACGCACUAUCCUCAAUAAACUAAACAAUAAACAUUGUAAGAAAGUCGGCAGGCCACCAAGGGUCAAAGAAUAACAAAGAGAGAGUUAAUAAUAACUCUUAUACGUACAAUAUCUUACUUAUAGUUGAUAAGUUAGACAAUAAAAUUACAAGAUUUGAACACAUAACUUCAUUAUUAUAUUAACGGGACUUGAAUUUAUCUUUCUGAAUCUGGAAACCAGUGAUUGCAAAAAUUUAAUCAUGUCAAACAUUUUCGGAUAGAAUUUCAGAUACCGACCCAAAACCGAUCCAAAUAUGUCUUUAUAAAACAGCUUUUACCACAAAUGUUUCAAAGGUUUAGUUUUAGUUGCUAUAAUCUAUGCCGCUUGUUGUCAGCCCAUCUUGUAAUAGAGGCUCAUCAUAUCAUGACGAUAGAAUAUCAACCUCCCUCCAUCAUAUAGUGAUGUCAUAUGUAGUUUAUAAAGAUAGAAGAAUGUUUUUCACAUAUUUGAUAAAAUAGCUAGCUUUUGCCCGCGGCUUCGCCCGCGUGUAUUUCAUAGUAUAAUCUCGGUCAUUCUUUUAUCGCGUAUUCUGUAAGACUGGUAAACAUACAGAAAAUAUGAUUAAUACAGCCAACUUAAUCGAAACGUGUUCUUGUUUCCUUCAACCCAAUUCAAAAAUCCUUGAACCACAAAUAAAGUGUGAUAAAGAGUUCGAGGUGAGUGUAAUACAUAGAUAAAAUAUAUAUAUUAUUCUUUUACCUAUGGUGUAACAAGAACGGAUAAAUUCUAAGGUGCGUAAUCGUAUCGGCGCGAAUCUCCUAGCGUAGAAGUUAACCAUACUUUAAGGCCUGUACGUACAGACUACAGAUCUAAUGUGGAAUCGACACAUUUCUAAGUAUGUUACAUUAUUCACUUAAUAAGUUUUAUAUUUUUGCAGAUAUUUCAUACGAAAUUGUUAACACUUCAAGAGGUGGUCAGCUUAUAAUGAUUAACGGUUACACGUUCUACAAAGUGAACAAAAUAUCCAGAAACUGGCUGUGUUCGAACAAAAGUUCUAAUCGGUGCAGCGCCAAAGUUAGACUGAAUGCUCUAAACGAAAUCACGUUCCACUAUCUUAAGCAUACACAUGCCCCUCGCAAAUAUAUUGUGACUAGCGAAGGAAAGUACUAUAAAAUAUAAAAUAGGAGAGAUUUGUAUGUAACAAACAUAUAUGGAUUUUUUGAAAUGUGAUUAUUUACUGCUAUUUAUUCAAGUGGCGUCUCUAUUUCUGAGUCAAAAGCAUAAUAUAAGAUGAUAAAUAAUGAAAACUAAAAAAUAGUAAAUUACGUAGAUACACUGAAGUGCCAUUAAAUUGUUUUGUUUUGUUAUUUGAAUACUUUUGAGUUUUGUUUAUUGAGUGGUUUGUUCGAGUCACCUUUCACUUGCGCGCCGCUGUCGUUUAGAUAAAAUUGCGUGCUUUAAAAGUUAACAUUAAAGUUUACUGGUGCAACUAACCCUAAAUUGAUGUAACUAAAUUAGUUAUCGUCGAACGGAGAAGUAAGAUAGGCAGCGUGCGCAAUAUUUUUAUUUUAUUUAAAGAUUUUGUUUUAGUUAGAAAAAGGGCCCUUACUGUUGCUGAACGCGCGAGAAGAUAUAGAGCGAAAUUGAAAUUAGAUCCAGAGAAAUACGAAGAAAAAAGGAAACAACAUGCAGCACUAGUUAAAAAAAAUAGAAAGAGAAUAUUUCAGCUAACAGGUGAAGAGAAAGAAAAAAUGCGUAGAAUGUGGAGAAACCAGAAACGGAACCAGCGGCUGAAAAUAUUACGUACUAAAAUAAAAAUUGAAAAAUAACCAGAAAUUUGGAUACUUUGUUGAUCUAUUUCUAUCUUUCCUAUAGGAAUUAUUGCGCUGUUAACAUACCUACGGCAAGACCUCUUUAUCGUAGGUUUUUAGUUGAAGCCGAAGCCGAUAUCUGGAAUCUGAAUGGAAUGGAAUCUUAGUUUUCGUUCUAUAUUGCCACUUGCAAAACUUUUGAAUAUUUUAGCCAUGGAUUGGCCGAAGCCGAGGCUUCAGUAGGACAAAGUAUAGGUGUUAGGUGUAAUGUUGCAUAACAAUUUGCUUGUCUGGAGAGCAUAUGUGAUGAGAUAUAGAGGAAAAAAGUGAGAUUUGUCAGGUUCGUGGCAAGUAAAAACCACUAGUCUCUGCUUGCCUCUCCAAACAGACGUCAUAAUAAUUAGCUAAUUUGGACAGAAAAAAAAAAAACAUAUUUGGAAAGGUAGUGGGUUUAUGGAUGCAAGUAAAUAUUGGAUAGAUAUACAUUCCUAUUAGGGUACUUGCUGAUCUCCAUUUCUAUGCUAAAAUUUGAUGUAGGUAGGUAGGUAUGAUAGAUUACCUGUAACGAAAUGUGCUAGCUGUCACAAUGGUGACAGCUGACAUUGAAAGCAAAUUACUUCGGUUGACGUUUCACGUCAAGUGUAAUCGAACGACUCUAAUGAUAAACAAAACAUUUACGUAUAUAUUUUAAUUAUUCUCAUAAACGUAUUGACUAAUUGAUAAUUAUUCAAUCAAUGACAAUAUCCCGUUCAAAAGUUCAAUGGUAGUUCAAGUGUACAGUAGUAGACUAUUAUGUGAAAUUAAAAUGUGUGAAACCUAACCUAAAAGAUCGAAUUUAAGUGAAUAGUAAUAAUGUUAACUUAUCACUGUGCGUAACCAUUUACAGUUAGUUUUCACGUGUUAGGUUAUUUGACAAAAAUAGAGUUGCUCCGAUGAAAAAUAAAUUUAGCGAGAAACUUGAAAUAACUGUUGGUAGAAAAAAAGGCAAUAGUAUAUAUUUUAUUGAUUCUGGACGAUAUGAAGAGUUCAUCUCUCAAGUAAAAGACAUCAAGCAGCGAUAUAAUAAGUCUUAUGAAGAUUACAAAAUGCUCGCUAGUUAUGAUGUAAUUGAAAUUAAUGGGAGAGAGCGACUAAUUAAGCCACAAGACGAAACAAAUCGUAAUAUCAAGUUUUAUGUGUGUAUAGAUGAGUUGUUUGGAGUGCUUCACACUAUGCAUUUGCUAUUUAAUCAUGCGGACAAAGAUACAAUGGAUGCAGAGUUGAAAACUAAAUAUUGCAACAUUUCCAAAGAGGUUAUUAAGAUUUAUCUGAGUUGUUGUCAAUUUUGUAAUUGUAAAACAUAGCUAUACAUCAAUCCAGUGUUCAAAAAAUAGUUUUAAAGAGAGUUUUAAAUGUUCUAAAUAUAUUUUUAAAGACUGUUUUGGGAAGGUCAAUGUUUUUUGCCGUUUUCUUUUGCGUCGACAUCUGUACGAGUUCAAUAUUAUAUCGCCCUUGUUAUGAAUAUAUCAAUGCCAGGUGUUCUGUGUGCGUAGAGCUCAUGAUAAAAUAGGUACCUACCGCACGUGCUCUCAAAUGCAUAAUUUUAUCUUUUAGAAAUUCGCGAUAAAGCACAAUAAAUAAAUUGGAAGACUGCCAUAAAUAAUAACUAAGGUAUAACUCAGAAGAAGAUAAUAUAUUUAUUAAUUUAAUUUAACUAAUCAGUCAAGAAUACUUUUAAAACUGAAAUACUUUUAUGUUCGAAUUAUUGUAAUGAUUGAUGUAUGUUACCAUUUCUUGUGCGCCUUUUUAUAAGAUAAAAAUUUUAAUAAAUAAAAGUUAUUAUUAAGUAAUUAUUAUUAACUUAUAUUCAGAUCUGAGAACGGAAUUUGGAUGACGUCUGACAUCUAAAGGCUGGUAAAGCAACAUUCAUGAUCUCCCGGGACGGGGAGAGGCUGAUGAAACUCGGCGACUUCACUUUCAUCAAGGACGCUCCUGGCGACCACUGCUAUUGGUCGUGUUAUACCCACAACGAUGGGUGUCCAGCGAGGGUCUACACUCAACAAAACAAAGUCACCUACGCGAAGAACUCGCAUAACCACCCACCUACAGAAUUUUUUGUAUGACAGUGCACAGGUUUAGGAUUUUUAAAUUGUUCUUCAGGAACCUUACCUCGUUUGGGAGCUAGGGCGUGGUUCAAAAUCGAGACGUCACCAGGUGACGGAGUAUAAUAUAUCUCUAUAGUCAAAUACAAGUAUAUCUUAUGUAAUAGUUAUGUAACAGCGACGACUAGAGGCAUGGGACAUGGCAAAACGAUCUUGUGAUACGUAACUUUUGGGUGUAUUUGAUUUAUCCUUUCUCACCACGUCGCCUGGUAAAGUCUCUGUCUUAGUAACGAAGUUUCUGUUCUUUUUUGCUAGUUUCUUCCCAUUUUGAGACUGAUAAAAACACUUUUCGAUACUUAAAACUAAAUUAUCGUGGAGUAUACAUGACUCCAGUAUAUUACACGUUUCAUGUAGAAUUUUAUAAACGUACAGGGUAGAGUUAGACGAAACGAAUUUAUAUUUACGUCUCGAACUGCUUUUCAAGAUAAUUUAAGGCUUAUUUCAGAUUGUUAACAAGCAGUUUGAUUCCACUUUAAUAAUGAUUAUUAAGUUAAACUUAGGCAUGAAAAUGCGUUCAGUCUGUAUUUUUUCAUAUUGAUAACAACAUUCUGUGUUAUUACGAACAUUUUCAUGGCUGAGCAUUUAAUCUUACGCUUUGUUGUAUAGGUGCUAAUUUGUGAUAAAAACUAAAGAUGUGAUCUCUUUAUAUCUUGCCCUUUUCUUAAUUAGGUUAAGUACAAACGUGGCAUAUCUGAUAUGUUUUCAGUAUUAGCUCACUUGUGUUCCAUAGCUCUCUAUUUUAAGAAAUAUAUUAUUUUUUAAUAUUUU